Molecule: non-coding RNA, 2100 nt
Organism: Carassius gibelio (silver crucian carp)
Lineage: Eukaryota; Metazoa; Chordata; Actinopteri; Cypriniformes; Cyprinidae
Source: the annotation of a RefSeq genome assembly
AUGAAUCAUGGGUGAUAAAUAUUUCUGAAGAGGGUGAUUCUAAAAAGGGUUUUGUGUCACAUUGCAUUCAGUGUAAAGUUCUUAUUUUAAAAUCCUAUACUUUAUUUAAAGGUGAUGUUGCAGUGUAAUUACAUAAAUCCUGAGUAAUAUUAAUUUCUAUGAAUGUAGGGUUAUGGUUAGGGUUUUGGAUUAUGCAUAAUUUACUGUUGUUGUUAGAGUAAGUACAUGUAACAUCUGUAACAACAUCUCUUUAAAAUACAGCUGUUGUGAAUCCUGCCCACUUCUUUGCAUGGUCAGCACAUGCUUCAGUGCUCUGAGAGUGUUUAUAGAGCUGUGAGUUUAACACUUCAUGACUGAGAGCAGAACAGAACACAAUCUUCAUCAUCCCACAAGACACAACAACAACAAUGAACAACAUCAUCAUCCUCAUCUGGACCACUGCAGCUUUUAUUCAAGCCUCCAGAGGAGUCACUCUGACUCAACCUAAAGUUAAAACUGUCCAGCUCGGUCAAACAGCUACAAUAGAGUGUAACAUAGAUGUAGGAAUAUACAGCACCUACUUACACUGGUAUCAGCAGAAACCUGGAGAAGCUCAUAAACUCCUCAUAAAAUACAUAAACACCCUUCAGUCAGGAACUCCAUCUAGAUUCAGUGGCAGUGGAACAGCGAGUACUGGAAAAGAUUUCACUCUGACCAUCAGAGGAGUCCAGACUGAAGAUACAGGAGAUUAUUACUGUCAGAGUUACCACUACAUCAACAGUCAAUAUGUGUUCACACAGUGAUAAAGAGUCGUACAAAAACCUCCGUCAGUCAGAGUCACAGUGACUGCACUGAUACAGCUGAGAGACAUGCAGCUGCUGAUGGAGGAUAUUUCUUAUAACAGUCUCAUUUACUGAAAAAUGUUAAAGUCUUGUACUGAUUUAUGAAUAUUUCUGGUUCUUUAAUGUGUGUUUCACUCAUAACUUCACCAUGGAUGUAUUUAAUUCAUCAUUUAAAAUGUUCCAGCAUUAAACAAUCCAAUGUAAUCUGAAGAUACUUACAGUAUAGUACAGUAUGCAGGGAAACAGAAUUACACAAAAUAAGUUAAUCAUAGCAACUCCUUUUGCGUGUCAUAGAACAUUUAACUUUCAUUCCUAUUAUCUUUUUCUUCUUCUUCCAAAGUGAAAAUCUCAAAUGAUGUAUUGUGUUAAGAAUCAUUCUGUGAGUCAGUCGUGAAAAUUAUGUUUUUGGAUUUCCCACAAUCAAAUUAUAUUUUCACACUUUUUACAUAAUUAAAAUUAUAACUUGAUUGGAAGAUUUUUCUGCUUAUAAGUUAUAUUAACCUUUGAUUUUCAAUUUGAUAAAUGUUUUGGUGGAAAUGAUGCCACAGUGAUGACCAGACUCGCGGCCAACGGACGUUACCAGAAAUAUUUUUACAUUUUUGGAAGAAGGAACAUGUCUCAGGUAUGUAACAUAAAAUCUGUUUUAUAAGUCUUUAUAUAUUAAUACUGGUGAUCUGAGUGAGUGCUGAUUGUUUCGUUUGGUUUAUUUCAGUAGAAUACAGUGAAGUUAGUUAAAAUGGCGUCUUCAUACUCUAUCCUAAUUUCCACCGGCAGGAACUUUACCCAGAAACUAUGAACUUUGGACUGGUAAUCUGUGUGCUUCCACCGCAGCUACCAUGAUCUAAAUAAAGUUCUUGGUAAAAAAUAAUGUCCCUCAGUAAGCCCUGCUCGCGAGAUACUUGUUCAAAGGUCCUGAACUUUCGGGAGUGGCAAUACAACAUUGUAAUUUCAACCACCAUUUCUUUUGAUAAUUUUUUUAAUAUUACUGUCAUCGUGUCAUGAAAGGUAUAGUGUUUUAACUAUUUCAGGCGAGAAUGUAGUUGUUUAAAACUCAAAUAUGCGGUUUAUUUAUAAAGACUACGCCUAUUUAAAAAUGUGUUUCGCUGAUGUCGGAGACAGUUAACUCCACACGAUCAGCGGGAGAUGGUCAAAAUUCAAGAUGGUCAAAUUCAUCCCUCUCCACAAACAAGACGGGUUUUACAAGAGUUUAACAGGUCUUCCUUUGGUCUUUCCUUUCAGCUGAAAUAAAGAAAAAAGAAAAUGUUUUUAUUGUAUUAAU